GGGCGACGUAUUCGACGAAUCUCAACAAGAAUUAGCUGCACAAUGUCUUCUCGGAAUAAUGGGCUCAGUGGUAGCUGAUGAGCAAUCACUAUUACCGCCAAAUGAAAAAGAUCUCUCUGAGGCAUUCACACAUCCGAUAUACUCGUUUCUCAAAGUGCUAUGGUAAAUUUUUGAAUUUUGUUUUAGGAAUUGGAAAUUUUUUCGGCAAAAAAUUAUUGUUAAAUCCGGAUUUUUUAAAUCUAUUUUUGACAUAAAUGUAUUUGGAAUUUUUGAAAAAAAAUUCGAUGUUUUCUAGAGAUUCAAUACUUUUGCCCGAAAAAUCUCAAAUUUCUGAAUUAUUUUUGAAUUCCAAAAGAAAAAAAAAAAAAAAUUAUUUUUCCCCUAAAAAUAAAAAUAGGAAAUUUAAUCACACAUUUUAUGAUUACUCUCCCAAAACAGAAAACAAAUUCUGAGAAUGCGUAUUGGGCAACAUAUUUGACGCGCAAAAUAUCUCGUAGCGAAAGCUACAGUACCCCAUUAAAUGACUACUGUAGCGCUUGUGUCGAUUUACGGGAUCUCGAUUUUCGCGAAAAAAUUUUCUUUUCGAGUUUUGACAGCGAUAUUCAAUUUUUCUUCCUUUUUCGUAUCGUUUUGUAUUUGUUCAAUAUUUUAUCUAUUAAUAAAUUAUUUUAAUUGAAAAACGUCCAAUAUUGAAAUUCAUUUUGAUGUGGAAACUCCUACAAACGUAUUUUUACAUUAUUUCCCGUUAAUUGCCGGGUUUCAUCCGGGAAAAACUUGCAAUAGACGGGAAAUAAUGUAGAAAUAUGUUUGUAGGAGUUUCGACAUCAAAAUGAAAUUCAAUAUUGGACUUUUUCAAUUAAAAUAAUUUAUUAAUAGAUAAAAUAUUGAACAGAUCCACAAAACGAUACGAAAAAGAAAAAAAAAAUUGAAUAUCGCUGUCAAAACUCGAAAAGAAAAUUUUUUCGAAAAUCAAGAUCCCGUAAAUCGACACAAGAGCGCUACAGUAGUCAUUUAAUGGGGUACUGUAGUUUUCGCUACGAGAUAUUUUGCGCGUCAAAUAUGUUGCGUAAUACGCAUUCUCAGAGUUUAGUGUUCUUGUAACAGUAAAAAAACCUAAAUUUAAAAAAUUCCAGCUCUCCACCUGACAACGAUGAAGCUUCAAGUGACGUGAUGGCUGCAAUGAUGGCUGCAAUGCGAGAAAAAGAUUCCUCGCUGACCUACGUCUUUCUAUAUUUCAUUAAAGGCACAGCAGGCGGCCGACCGACCGAAUGUAUAGAAUGUUAUAAGAAUAUUGCAAAAAUGAGUGGGCGAAGUGUUGAUGAGAUGCUUGCAUCAGAUCUUCAACUAUGUGCAGUUAAUGAUAAUCGACUAUUCGCCUAUCUUGUUCCGUUCGUAUUCUCACAGUUUGAAGAGGAAGUCAUGUCGACGCCGGCACUUUUGGCGACACUUUGCGCGAAUCUUGAUGCGAUUCAACUUAGAUCGUUUGUCAGCGAAAUUAUUCGGUAGGUAUUAGGUCGGCAAAUAAUUAUUGACGUAUUUUGCCAUUUUACGAUUUUUUGUAAAUUUUAUAUGUUAUGUUUUCGAGGCAGAACCAGGAGGCGAAGACGAGUAGUUUAUUAUUACAUAACUAAGGAAUACCGUAUUUCUUCUAUUAAUAUGGCUGCAAUACUAUUUUUCGGUGGUCUUCCCGCUUGCAAUACUAAUAGGGAGUGCAAGACUAUUAGGGAGUGCAAUACUAAUUUUCAGAAUAUUUUUCUGACUUUGAGCUUACUAGUUUUUUCUGAAAAAAAUCGAACCUUGUGCGAAAAUUCAGAAAAGGUUUGUACCAAAAAAAAGUAGACGCAAGACUAUUAGGGAGUGCAAUACUAAUAGGGAGUGCAAGUCUAAUAGGGAGGCCAUAUUAAUAGAAGAAAUACGGUACUUUGGUCAUCUGCGUAGUAUUAAGAUUUGAAAAAAAAAGAAAAAUUUUUGAAAAUUUUUUUUUCGUGAUUUUUUGAGUUAGCCGUUAGAAACGUGAUGUUAAUAUUUAAAUCAAUUAAGUUUUGUUUGUUUAGUGCAAAAAAUGAAUCCCAACACAAUUGAGCCAUUUCAUAAAGUUUUAUAGUGAAUCAAAGUCAAAAAGCGAACCAUACAAAAAUACCAUAUUUUUCAGUUUUGAUUAAUUCUUGAAAGUAUUUAUGAUAAUUUGUACAAAAUCAUUACUUUUAUUCAUUUUAUAAAAAUUCUAGUCAUUUCCUGUAGAUUUCGCAACUUUUCGAAAUUCAAUUUUUUCUAAAAGUAUGGUUUUUGGAUAACCUUUACACUUUGUCAAUGACAAUUUUUUCAACCCAAAAAACCUUGAAAAUAUUUUAGUUCAGCGUUUUUGUUUUAUAUUUACCGUAUUUCUUCAUAGUUUGACGUUUUCAAAAUUGAAUUUCACUUCCAACUUUCGCAUGACUUUCUUUGAAAAAUAGUAAGCGUUUUUUAUUGGCUGAAAAAGCCAGGUGAUGAAGAAAUACAGUAAAUAUAAAACAAAAACGCUGAACUAAAAUAUUUUCAAGGUUUUUGGGUUGAAAAAAUGGUCAUUGACAAAUUGUAAAGGUUAUCCAAAAACCAUACUUUUAGAAAAAAUUGAAUUUUGAAAAGUUGCGAAAUCUACCGGAAAUGACUAGAAUUUUUAUAAAAUGAAUAAAAGUAAUGAUUUUAUACAAAUUAUCAUAAAUACUUUCAAGAAUCAAUCAAAACUGAAAAAUAUGGUAUUUUUUGUAUGGUUCGCGUUUUGACUUUGAUUCACUAUAAAACUUUAUGAAAUGGCUCAAUUGAGUUGGGAUUCAUUUUUUGCACUAAACAAACAAAACUUUAUUGAUUUAGAUAUUAACAUCAAGUUUCUAAUCGCUAACUCAAAAAAAUCACGAAAAAAACAAUUCAAAAAAUUUUCGAUUUUUCAAAUCUUAAUACUACGCAGAUGACCAAAGUAGAUGAAAUUUAUAUGCUUUCAUAUACUCGCUGCCUACUAUAACUCACAUAUAUAAAAUUUACAAAAAAUCGUAAAAUGGCAAAAUACGUCAAUAAUUAUUUGCCGACCUAAUAGUUUGAAAAAAUUCGGUUUUUUUUCAAGACUUUUUGGAAUUCAAAAAAAUGCGAAAAAAAUAUGGUUAAAUUCUGAUUGAAAUGAGUUUUUUCUCACCAAAAUUGUAACUUGUGGUUUUACGUAGUCAGUUUUUGCGAAAAUCAAUCUAAAUUAUUUUUGAUGGCAUCCAUUAGUACUGCUAUUCACUUCCAUACCAAAAAAAUAUUGACUAAAAAAUUUGGACAAAUAUUCUAGUAAAAUAACAUAAAAUUUAAUAUAUAUUGUACCAGCUUAACGAUUUUUUUCCCAAUUUCCAGAAGGUUUUAGAACAUUCUAGAAAAUUUGAAUUUCCGCAAAAUUUUACUGAACAAUUGUACUGAACUACAGUAAUCCUACAAUACUCCAAUAGUACCUCUACAGUACUACUUCAGUACCCCGACCAUAUCCCCCCACUAACCUCAAACCAAUAUCCCUUCAAAAGACGAAAAGCCAAUUUUUUCAAAGCUACAGUAAUCCUACAGUACCACUACAGUGCCCCGAUCAUAUCCCCCCAGCUAACCCCAAACAAAUAUCCCUUCAAAAGACGAAAAACCAAUUUUUCUCAAACUACAGUAAUCCUACAGUACUCCUACAGUACCCCAUCAUAUCCCCCCGCUAACCCCAAACCAAUAUCCCUUCAAACGACGAAAAGCCAAUUUUUCCAAAGCUACAGUAAUCCUACAGUGCUCCUACAGUACUACUACCGUAUCUUCACAUUAUCCCUCACUAACUCCCAACUCAAUACCUCUACAAAAGACGGAAGGCCAAUUUUUCCAAAGCUACAGUAGUCCUACAGUACUCCUACAGUACCUCUACAGCACUAGUUUUUUUCCAAAAACCAAUUAAAAUGUUGGUAAAAUUUCAACAUUUCCCACAUUUCCUAUACAUUAAUAUGUAUAUUUAAAUUUUCAAAAAAAUAUCAACUCUUUAAAAAGACCAAUGUUUCCAAUGUUUCCAGAGAAGAAAUCAAGAUAUUCCGUAAAGAAUCAUUCCCAAAAAUGGUGAUGGAUUCGGUUGAUUGGGCGACAACUCCACAAUGGGUAUUCUGGCAUUUGGUACAUGCUGACGGAGUUCCUAUAGAAUGGUUUUUGAGUACAAUUCCGAAAUUUGAUGCCGUCGGUCAUGACGAGGCGAUAGCGAAUAUUUUGUUGAUGAUGAAGAGAAUGGGUAUGGUUUUUAAAUAAUACAAUUAGUGAUUUUCGAAUAAAAAUUGAUUUUUUGUGUGAAAAUUCCAGAAGCUGCUAGGGUUUCUUUUUUUUAGAAAUUGACUCAAAAAAAUUAAAAAAAGAUUUAAGAUUUUUUUUUUUUUAAUUUCAGACAUUCCAAAUUAAAUUUCGAAUUAAACAUCUCAAUUUUUCAAGAACAUUGGAAAUUGUUUUCAGUUUAGAAUUAAAGGUGGUGUAUUUGAUUUUUUGAUUGCUUUAUUAGACUCUCAAUUGUCUGAAAACAUCGAAUUUCAUAAUGAAACUUUUUGAAAACUUCUCAAAAAAAAUUUAUAAACGGCUCGAAAAAUGGCCUAAAAUUAUUUUAUUUUAUUAGAAAUUUGACCGACUUGUCAAGCGGCUGGAAACGUUAAUUUUUUGAAAUCACCGUCAAUUUUUGGGUAUACAUAUUAAUUAUCUUGCAUUUUCAACUUCAUUUAGGUAUUUUAAAGUCACUCGGCAUUCGCCGCCAGAUUCUUGCCCGUGUUUCACAGCUUUUAAUCCAAGUUUCGCUCAAAAAAAAUUAACAUGGAUUAGAAGCUGGCCAAACUUGGGCCACACUUGGGUCAAACUUGGGCGAUGCGUCAAAAAAGGAAAAAAGUCAACCGCUGUGUAGCCCACUCUCACUCAGUCCAAGUUUUGCCCAAGUUUAACCCAAGUUUAGCCCAAGAUUCACCUGUAUGUUGAACUCCGAUCGUUUUUCCCGUUGUGCUGAUCUCUUACCUGUUGAGCCAUGAUGGUCGCGCGAGAAUAUUUUAUUAAUUUCAAUAUUAAUAUUGCAAACUGUUGUUUCUACUUACGCGUAGCCAUUCUCAUAGGUUUAGGUUAAUUUUCAGUCAGUACUGUAUUCGAUAAUGCUAAAUCAUAAUGAAUGAAUUUCAGUUUUCUAUUGAUACCAUUUUUCUUCAGAACCCAAUAUUCUGAACAUUCUAUCAAGUAUCAAGUGCCAAGUAAAUUCUCGAGGGGUCAGUAUUUCAGAAAAGCUUUUCCAGUAGAUCAAAAUUUUGAUUAAAUGAUCGGAGAAUAACAACUUUUAGCUAUCAAAAAUUGAUUUUAAAAAUUUAAAUUCAAAUUUAAUCACAACAGAAAACAUUCUUCACGGAUUUACAUUAAAUUAGCAAAAUAAUAAUGAUAUUUAAACAGUUCCAAUCACAAAAUUCCUAUUUUUUGUCCGCCGAGGGAGCUGCGGCGGCGCGCCGCGUGUUUAAAGUUGGGCGAGACUUUGGCGAAACUUGGAUGUUUUAUUGUUUUUUAGACUCAAAAUUAUCUGAAAACACCGAAUUUCAUAAUGAAACUUCUUCAAAACUUCUCAAAAAAAAAAGUUAUGACGGCUCAAAAAAUGGCCUAAAAUUAGUUAAAAUUUGAAAUUUGACCGACUUGUAAAGCGGCUGGAAAUUAACUUUUUUGAAAUAACCGUCAAAUUUUGGGUAUACUCGUCAAUUAUCUUGCGUUUUCAACAUCAUUUAAGUAUUUUAAAGUCGAUGGACGGUGAGAUUUGGUUAAAAAAUUGAAAAAUCUCACCACCCAUCGACUUUAAAAUACCUAAAUGAAAUUGAAAAUACAAGAUAAUUAAAUCUUAUACUCAAAAUUAGACGGUGAUUUCAAAAAAUAAAUAGUUUCCAGCCGCUUGACAAGUCGGUCAAAUUUCAAAUUUUAACUAAUUUUAGGCCAUUUUUCGAGCCGUUUAUAACUUUUUUUUUGAGAAGUUUUCAAGAAGUUUAAUUAUGAAAUUCGGUGUUUUCAAACAAUUUUAAGCCUAAUAAUAAAUCAAUACAAAAAAAUUCGAGUACACCACCUUUUUUUAAAUUCUAAUUUUUCAUGUGAAAGUUUCUGAAAAAAAUUUUUAAAAUCAAAAUUGUUAAGUUUUUGUAAUUUUAAAUUGAAUUUUAAAUAGUUUUUAAAUAUACAUUAUUCUUAGAAUUAUAUAUAGAACUUAUUUUUUACGAUAGUUUGGAUAAAAUUAUGAAGAAAAAGCAAUUUUUCUAGAAAUUUGAAAUUUCAGAGAAUUAUACAUCAAAAUUCUUUUUUUUUUAUGUAAAAAGAUCGGAAAAAUGACACCCUGCUUCCUAUAUAUAUAUAAAUAAAUAAAAUAUCGAUUUUCAGACCGUGAACCAUGGGCUGGACUGAUUCGAGCACUGUUCAAUCGUGUUCCGAAUAAAGAUGACACAUUCACAAUUGACGCAAUGAAAGUACUUAUUGAGGAUUCGGAACAAUGUCAAAAAGUCGCUGAAAUAGUUGCACAGUUGAUCAAGAAAUUGUUAGGG
Molecule: small RNA, 6554 nt
Filed under: Caenorhabditis elegans
Lineage: Eukaryota; Metazoa; Nematoda; Chromadorea; Rhabditida; Rhabditidae
Description: Unclassified non-coding RNA Y92H12A.13
Source: RNAcentral